GGCGAACGGGUGAGUAACACGUGAGUAACCUGCCCCUGACUUCGGGAUAAGCCUGGGAAACUGGGUCUAAUACCGGAUACGACCGUCUGACGCAUGUUGGGUGGUGGAAAGUUGUUUCGGUUGGGGAUGGGCUCGCGGCCUAUCAGUUUGUUGGUGAGGUAAUGGCUCACCAAGACGACGACGGGUAGCCGGCCUGAGAGGGCGACCGGCCACACUGGGACUGAGACACGGCCCAGACUCCUACGGGAGGCAGCAGUGGGGAAUAUUGCACAAUGGGGGGAACCCUGAUGCAGCGACGCAGCGUGCGGGAUGACGGCCUUCGGGUUGUAAACCGCUUUCAGCAGGGAAGAAGCCUUCGGGUGACGGUACCUGCAGAAGAAGUACCGGCUAACUACGUGCCAGCAGCCGCGGUAAUACGUAGGGUACGAGCGUUGUCCGGAAUUAUUGGGCGUAAAGAGCUCGUAGGUGGUUGGUCACGUCUGCUGUGGAAACGCAACGCUUAACGUUGCGCGGGCAGUGGGUACGGGCUGACUAGAGUGCAGUAGGGGAGUCUGGAAUUCCUGGUGUAGCGGUGAAAUGCGCAGAUAUCAGGAGGAACACCGGUGGCGAAGGCGGGACUCUGGGCUGUAACUGACA
RNAcentral lists this ribosomal RNA (636 nucleotides) under Brevibacterium casei. RNAcentral's name for it is "bacterial SSU rRNA". It matches the Rfam family "Bacterial small subunit ribosomal RNA", at positions 97 to 745 of the family's 1533-position model. The record is from RNAcentral. Lineage: Bacteria; Bacillati; Actinomycetota; Actinomycetes; Micrococcales; Brevibacteriaceae.